GUUGUCAUGCCAAUGGCACUGCCCGGUAGCUAAAUGCGGAAGAGAUAAGUGCUGAAAGCAUCUAAGCACGAAACUUGCCCCGAGAUGAGUUCUCCCUGAGACUUAGAGUCUCCUGAAGGAACGUUGAAGACGACGACGUUGAUAGGCCGGGUGUGUAAGCGCAGCGAUGCGUUGAGCUAACCGGUACUAAUGAACCGUGAGGCUUAACCUUACAACGCCGAAG
RNAcentral lists this ribosomal RNA (223 nucleotides) under Salmonella enterica. RNAcentral's name for it is "partial 23S ribosomal RNA". It matches the Rfam family "Bacterial large subunit ribosomal RNA", at positions 2720 to 2925 of the family's 2925-position model. RNAcentral also lists the same sequence under 1 other name. The record is from RNAcentral. Lineage: Bacteria; Pseudomonadati; Pseudomonadota; Gammaproteobacteria; Enterobacterales; Enterobacteriaceae.